CUCUUCACCUCCCCCGCCCGCGUGGUCGCCUCCACCGCAGCCGUCCGAGAGGAGCUGGGGGAGGACGGUGGCCCGCGAGGCUCGUCGCAGACAACCCGGCGGCGAUGUCCGCGAGCCAGGCGAGUGCCGCGGCGGCAGCGGCGGGGCCUCGCGCACGGCAGGGCGGCCUGGGUUUUGGCCUCCCCCCGGUUCCCUGGAAGCGGGCCGGUGGCCAGUGCGGGAACGGCAGCAGCAGCAGAGGCGGAAGCUUCAGUGCGUCUCUCUACCCUUUAGCCUGAGCCAAGGGAGGCCAGGCAGCCCGGGUGGCUGGAGGGGGUCCGCUGCCCGAGAAUGGGAAUUCUCUUCACCAGGAUAUGGAGACUGUUCAAUCACCAGGGUGAGGCGGC
This 386-nucleotide long non-coding RNA is filed under the name Marmota monax (woodchuck). Lineage: Eukaryota; Metazoa; Chordata; Mammalia; Rodentia; Sciuridae. The record is from RNAcentral.